UACGUAGGUGGCAAGCGUUGUCCGGAUUUACUGGGCGUAAAGCGUAUGCAGGCGGAUGCCUAAGUAGGAAGUGAAAGGUUGGAGCUCAACUCUAACACUGCUCCCUAUACUGGGUGUCUUGAGUGCCGGAGAGGAAGACGGAACUGCACGUGUAGCGGUGAAAUGCGUUGAGAUGUGCAGGAACACCAAUGGCGAAAGCAGUCUUCUGGACGGAUACUGACGCUGAGAUACGAAAGCCAAGGGAGCGAACAGG
RNAcentral lists this ribosomal RNA (253 nucleotides) under uncultured bacterium. RNAcentral describes it as "partial 16S ribosomal RNA". It matches the Rfam family "Bacterial small subunit ribosomal RNA", at positions 524 to 776 of the family's 1533-position model. The record is from RNAcentral.